This 3413-nucleotide long non-coding RNA is filed under the name Malus domestica (apple). RNAcentral's name for it is "long non-coding RNA (MDOM_LNC020989)". Lineage: Eukaryota; Viridiplantae; Streptophyta; Magnoliopsida; Rosales; Rosaceae. The record is from RNAcentral.
UAACAAAGAUGUGGCACAAGAUAGGAAAGGCUCCAACUUUAGAGACUUUGGCUUCCAAUUCUGAACUCUUUGUUCUUCAUUUUCAUUUCUUCAUUUCUUUCAUCUCAUUAUUGUUUCCUAGCCUCCUUUGAUCUUCAAUUUCAUCCAUCUAUUUAGCUCCAAGCAUGUGCUAUUCAUUCCAAGCACAAGACUACUCCAAAAAGGCUCCAAAUGCACCUCUUUGCCACAUUAGCCAUAUAAACCUGAAAUUGCACAAAAAUGACUUUAAACACUAAAAUAACUAAGGAAUAACAACAAAAAUGCACAAGAACAAGCCAACUAAGUCGCAUAAAUAUGCUCCUAUCAAAUUCCCCCACACUUAGCUUUUGCUAGUCCUCGAGCAAAACAAAACAAACAGAACAUAACCUAGACCUUCCAACAUUUACCUCAGAGAUUUCCAAUGAAACAUGACAUGCCAUAGAUCACUACUCUUACAGAUUUUAGUCAUCCUUACCCUCGAGCAUAUUUAAUCAUAGUCACCAUUUACUAGCUCACAUUUAAUCAAUUAAAACAACAUUGUGAAUGUAGUAACAUGCCUUAGAGAAUUCCCUCAAUUCCUUACUAGAUAUGCACUCAAUUUUCACUCAGAUUUUCUGACUACACACCCUACACUAGGUAUAUGUGAGAAGAUUGAUGUAAGCAUGAAAACUAGUACUCACAUAUGUUUUAAACAGAGAAAGCAAUUUCUGGAAUUAUUAAUGCAUGUAUAUAUUUAUGAUCUCAUGAACGGAAUGCCACUACUUAGAAGCGAGAACCAGGGAUUCCAUAUGCUCAUACCAAUUCCAAACUCCACAUAUUAACACACAACACUCAAGAUGGAAGUCAAGGGUUGAAACGGGGCUAAGGUAUUGGUUAACAAAGAAAGGUAAGGGGAAACAAACAUUCUUAAAGCAAUAGUGAGAAAAGUAAUGAUUUUGACACUUAGAAUUCACUUUUGUAUGUAAAAAUCUAUUUAAACACACAGGGAAAGUUCAUGCAACACUUAGGGUCAAAUUCAAACUUUUGGACCCUUUCUUCAACAAUCAACACAUGUGAGUUCAUUCUCACUUAUUUUUCAACUCUUUUUCAUACACCUUUCUUCUUCUUUUUCUUUUUCUACGAAAUUUUUUUUUCUCUCUUUUUUUAUUAUUGCCGUGCCCUAUGGCACACAAAAUAUACAAUUUGAAACCUUUCCCCCACACUUGUUUUCUGCAAUAAUGUUACCCAAAAUAAAUUCCUUCUAAGUCAUGCUCUACUAUACUUCAAGAACAAGGGUAUGGAAAGUCUUAUUCUAGGCUAGGUAAGGAUGAUGUGGUUAACAAAGAAAAUAGGCUAAACAAGGCUGAAUAGGGUUUAAACCUACAAAACAAAUGACAAAAGUGGAUUCGGCUAUUUGGCUUUGGUGGUGACUACUAAACAACUUCAUCUUGAAUAUGUGUUAUGCAAAUCAAUGUCAUACUUAGAAUGGAACAGGCAUGAGUUCUAGUAUGCGGAUCUAUAAUGAUGAAACGCAUUCUAAGCAGCAACCAAGCAAAGAAUAAUGAGAUCAUGCAACGACUUUAGAAAACAAGAAUACACAGAUUAAUAACUCUCCAAAUAAACAUUUAAGCUCAGGUCUCUCAGGGAUGUAGCGUUAGUUUGAGUUCAUUCCUUCAAGCAUGUUACAAAAACUGAUUUUAUCCUUUGCGAUUACAUGUGAAUUCAUAAACUAUAACUACAACCAAGCAUAAACCAAAGAGCAUAUCAAACUUCCAUCCAUGUUUAUAACUUUCUUUAACAGUCAUGCACUUAAAAACCAAAUCCUCAUCAUUGUGUUGAAAGGUACCCUAAGACACAAACAAUCACACAAAAACAACUCUUUUUGGCUUUUUCAAAUUUUUAUCAAAUUUUCGGAUUUUUACUUCAAAAUACACCAAAACAGCUUAAAAUGCACUAAAAACACUAAAAAACAGUGAGAAACAACAUUAGAAGUGAUAGGUGAUAUAAUCCCACGAAAAUUGCGUAAAAACACUUGGUUACCCCCCUGCCCUCACACUUAAAUCAAAAAUUGUCCUCAAUGUUGCAAACAUAAACUCACACAAAAGCAAACAAACAACAAACUAAGCUUGGAAACAUAAAACAGCAAAGGGAAGAGUUUAGGAAUGCAAAUCUGGGUUUGGAGUGAAAAUUCCAUCGUUCCUUUGUUGAAUGCAUGGGUUUCCUCCCAAGAAGCGCUUGCUUUAACGUCUUGCAGCCGAACGAAGACCUUCAUUCAAACUUGAUUAAACCCCACGACACGGGGGGUUGUUUUCUCCAUCACAUGCUCCUCGAAUUGCCUCUGAUUUGGCUCUAUGAAUGGAAGAGGGAAUUGGUCCUCCCUGAUUGUGGCAUUUAGCUUCCUAAAGUCAAUGUAAAUGCUCCCACCAUCAUAGAUUCGAUUGGAGACCUGCACCAAAGAAGGUAACAACCUAUUAGUUGAAAUAGAAUUUGGAAUUGGACUAGAUGACUUACCAAUGUGUUGCAAUGAAGUGGCAGCACUGUCAACAGAUUUUCAAAUGGUGUUUUCGGCCAUAUUAUGCAUUUCAAGGUUAGUGGUGUGUUCUUUGUGCUUCACUCCAAUUCCCUCUUCUUUGGUGGUUGGGAAUUCAUUCUUCUCAAUUGGUGCUGAAUUUUCCUGCCCUACAUCUUUAAUUACAUGAUAGGAGCAUAUUUAUGCGACUUAGUUAGCUUGUUUCUUGGCAUUUAUGUUGUUAGUUCAUAGUUAUUUUAGUAUUUUAAGCUAUUUUCGUGUGUUUGUAGGUCCAAAAGGUUAAUGUGGCAAAGAAGUGCAUUUUGGAGCAUUUUUGGGCAUGGAAUGGAUGGCACAUGCUUGGAGCAAAAGGAAUGGACGAAAUUUGAUGUUUGUGCAUCAUCCUCUCCCUAUAAAUAACCAUUUUACAUCCACUCAUUUCACCCAACACAUUCACAUACCACUACAUCCACUCAUUUCACCCAACACAUCCAUUCUCUAAACAUCCACCCACUACACCCAUUACAUCCACUCAUUACCAAACACUCAUCCACUACACCCAUUACAUCCACUCAUUACCAAACAUCCACCCACUACACCCAUUACAUCCACUCAUUACCACAACACUCACCCACUACACCCAUUACAUCCACUCAUUACAACUCCAUACACUCAUCUCCCUAGCCUAUAAAUACAUCCACCCUUCACCAUAAUGUGGGGGCAAUCAUCCAAAGACACCACAUCAUCUACACAAUUCUCCACCCUUCACCAUAACUUACCUAUAUCCAUCCACCACCACAAGAGACCAUCCAUUCACCACUCACACCUUGGUGCUGCAUAUUUGCAAGGAAGGAGGAUUGCUUGGAGUUGUGCUAGUCAUUCAAUUUGGAUUGCUGGAGCAUUCUAG